ACUCUCCACUUUCCUUUCUUAUCAGAUGCAAACACUGAUCUGGGUGGUCAUGAAAGAGGAAAGGCGACACUGACACUCACGUCCAUGCUUUUGGAGCGCAUGUGCUAGUUUCAACAACAA
This 120-nucleotide small nucleolar RNA is filed under the name Echinops telfairi (small Madagascar hedgehog). RNAcentral describes it as "Small nucleolar RNA SNORA61 (ENSETEG00000025332.1)". The record is from RNAcentral. Lineage: Eukaryota; Metazoa; Chordata; Mammalia; Afrosoricida; Tenrecidae.